Pelobates cultripes (western spadefoot toad) is the source of this 1312-nucleotide non-coding RNA. The record is from the annotation of a GenBank genome assembly. Lineage: Eukaryota; Metazoa; Chordata; Amphibia; Anura; Pelobatidae.
UUAAAGUUAAUUAUACAGAGCAGGAGAUAAAAACCUUUAAUGUAAGCAACAUCUGAUUGAAAAUGAAACCAUGUUGCCUUCAUACAGGCUGUGUGAGUCACAGACAGGGAGGUGUGGCUAGAACUGCAUAAACAGAAACAAAAGUGAUUUAAUUCCUAAAUUGCAGUGAACUGAGAAGUGAAACCUCAGAGGCAUGAUCUGUACACUAAAACAGCUAAAGUUGUUUUGGUGACUAUAGUGUCCCUUUAAUUACUUGUAGAAGAUACAUAUGUAUUAUAUUGUAGGAUUGGGGAAGGACACAGAUGUUUGGACUAAGCAAAGGCAAGCUGGAUAAGAGGAAUCGUACACUAGUGGGUAGUGCAUAGUAAGUAGUGGGUAAUGGGAGACGUUUCCCUACCUCCUAGGGUGAUGUGGCAGGAUAUUGGUCAGUUAAUUUCAGGGAGUGGCCCAAGUACCAAGUAGUCAAGCUUGUUAGCUCAUACUGAUGACUAGAGGACUAGUGAUGUUGCUGUCUCAAGGUAGUAUGCAGUUUUGACAACUGGUGACAUCUGCACAAAAUCUUACAAAGUCACAAAGGAACCCAUGAUUUUAAGUUUUUGUACCACUAAUACCAAAGUCAUUUGAGCCAAGGUCAUUUGGGCCCCAUUUUUGAGUGGUAGAUUGACCACAUACUGCAUUGUCUUGGGGUAGAGUUCUGAGCUUUAUUGUUAAACCUGAGCAUGUUUUAUUCUCAGUUAUGUCCAUCGUGCAGAUUGAUAUUUGCUGUUUAUGUGAAGUCACUAUGGUUGAGCUUUCUGAAAGCAAGAUGUAGAUUUGGGUGUCAUCAGCAUACCAGUGGCAUUCGAGUCCAUGUGAGAUAAUAGUACGCUCAUACAUACUUAUAAAAAUAUAUUUGUUAUUCACCAAAUUAAAAUUGUUGGAAAACUACUUUGAAUUCAAAGCGAAUUUAAAAUUUAAGGUCAAAUAGCCAAACAGCAAAAAUUCCCCAAAUCACCUAUACUUCCAAUUUGGUUAUUUUGACCUUUAAUUUUAAAUUCACUCUGAAAUCCCAACAAUUUUCACUUGGCGAAUAGCCUUGUUGGUGUGUUAAGUGUCCUGCCUUUUUGUCUUACAUGGUAAAGAAAAUAAAGAGAGGUAAAAGUGAAGGCAUGUUAAUUGACAAGGAAUUAUUGCCUGAUAAAAUGUAAUAACUGUAAGUGUGUAGUUUUGUGCAAACAGGGCAGCUUCAACAGGCUUAUAGUAGAGGUCAGAUACAUAGGCGUGCGCAGCCUAUUGCAUUAGGGUGUGCACCCUAAAGCACAGACACGCCGCG